CCUACGGGAGGCAGCAGUAGGGAAUUUUCCACAAUGGACGAAAGUCUGAUGGAGCAACGCCGCGUGUGUGAUGAAGGGUUUCGGCUCGUAAAACACUGUUGUAAGAGAAGAAUGACAUUGAGAGUAACUGUUCAGUGUGUGACGGUAUCUUACCAGAAAGGAAAGGCUAAAUACGUGCCAGCAGCCGCGGUAAUACGUAUGUUCCAAGCGGUAUCCGGAUUUAUUGGGCGUAAAGCGAGCGCAGACGGUUGUGUAAGACAGAAGUGAAAGCCCACGGCGUAACUGUGGAAGUGCUUUGGAAACUGGAUAAGCUGAGGGCAGUAGAGGAGAGUGGAACCCCAUGAGUAGCGGUGAAAUGCGUAGAUAUAUGGAAGAACACCAGUGGCGAAGGCGGCUCUCUGGACUGUAACUGACGUUGAGUCUCGAAAGUGUGGGUAGCAAACAGGAUUAGAUACCCCGGUAGUC
Molecule: ribosomal RNA, 465 nt
Filed under: uncultured Weissella sp.
Lineage: Bacteria; Bacillati; Bacillota; Bacilli; Lactobacillales; Lactobacillaceae
Description: bacterial SSU rRNA
Rfam family: Bacterial small subunit ribosomal RNA
Source: RNAcentral